RNAcentral lists this long non-coding RNA (1268 nucleotides) under Phasianus colchicus (ring-necked pheasant). RNAcentral's name for it is "lncRNA (ENSPCLG00000000505.1)". Lineage: Eukaryota; Metazoa; Chordata; Aves; Galliformes; Phasianidae. The record is from RNAcentral.
GGAGGUGACUACAACCACCUCUUCUGGAGCCAGGCCUCCUCAAGUAUGGCCAGCAGAGCACCCAUGAGGAGCAUGCAUCUGGCAGAAGGCCCUGAAAAACAGAGGACAUCCCACCAGGGCUGACCAGUACUCAUACAGAACCGAAGCUGGGAUCGAGCCCCUGCCAAUGCCUAACCUAUGACAAGGGCCAGCUGUGGCCUGGCAAGACCAUGGCAAUACUCUGUGAACAGGGGUCUGCUACAGACAUGAGAAUCAAGAACCUUGGCUCAUCAUUACAAGGGCAGCAUCCCCAGGUGGCCAGGGGUGGUGGAGGAGGACCCUUGAGAUGGGAAGGCUAACACUGAGCUCUUUUGUACAGCAUUCACCUCAUCAGCACUGUGACAGCAGCUGGUGUGGUGGAAACCACUUGCAGUUAACCUCCAAAUCAAAUGGAAACAUAAUGACAACACUGAUGACCAUGAAGUCAAAGACCACACCAAACUACUCAAGUGGUUCAAAUGCACUGAAACCAUAUAAUGGCUGAGCAAUUGAAAUACCAAAGGAGUAUGUAUGAAUGUGACCAAAGAAGGCAAUGCUAUAUCUACACAAGUUAUGGUGCCAGACCAUUAGACAUCAAAGGCUCCACAGUGCAGGCAUCCUACAAAGAAGAAGUCAGCACGAUUUUUCCAGGAGCUCACUUCACUAUUCCAACAAUAAUAAUGACUUGUGCCUUUGAUCCAGAUUGCCAAAGCACUUUGUUCUCUGAUUGAGAAAUUACACAUAAAAUAGGAUUCAAUUUGCCCAUCACUGGCACAGGCUGGGAGAGUCAGACUCUAAUAAUAUUUAGCAGCUUAAAAAAACAACAGUUUAUCUACAUUAAAUCAAAGAGAUAAUGUAAAGCUCAGAGAAUUAAAUGUAUGAUCGCCUAAUAGUAGCUAAUGGUGCUAACAAUGUGAAAAGUUAUGUAGGAUCUUAAAUAAUGGUGAGUGUCCAGGACAUCACAGAGAGUCCCAAGAAGUGGCAGAGAGCAUUAGUACUCACCUUGGAAAAGCAUGAAUUCACCUGAGCUGGAUCAUCCCCAUUUGAUAUGCAGCAACCUGCAGCUUAGUUCCACCAGGGACAUGCCAGUAGGGCAGUGCCAGUGAGACUUUGGCCCUGAUGACUGGAAGCCCUCCAAGUUGCCUCCAAAAGCCUGAGACAAGGAAAUGUGGAAGAAAGAAUUAAAACUAAGCUGACAAGGAGGAACCAAAGAUCAAUAAAACAAAAUGGAUCUAAAUAAAGUAAUUACA